Molecule: unclassified non-coding RNA, 318 nt
Filed under: Hevea brasiliensis (rubber tree)
Lineage: Eukaryota; Viridiplantae; Streptophyta; Magnoliopsida; Malpighiales; Euphorbiaceae
Source: RNAcentral
UGUAAUCGUGAUGAAUAAUAUGCCUAAUUAUCUUCUUUUACGUGUCCCUGUAAUGUAAUUUCUGGAUUUUCUUUUGUUGUUAAUUAGGUGUAAUUGAAAUUGGAUGAAAAAAAAUAAGGUGUUUGUUCCGUAGUUAUUGGGUUUACUUUUGUUUGAAGUUAUCUGUUGAAUAUAUUUGGACUUACAAGGCAAUGCAAUUGAAAUCUUAUUACUGUUGUGACAAAUAAUAAUAGGCGUUCAUUUACGUUUGUUUCGACUAACUGGUUGGCUAUCUUGGUGAUCAGGGUGAAUUUGAAUUGUAUGUUGGUGGCUCAUCAA